GACGAACGCUGGCGGCGUGCUUAACACAUGCAAGUCGAACGGAAAGGCCCUGCUUUUGUGGGGUGCUCGAGUGGCGAACGGGUGAGUAACACGUGAGUAACCUGCCCUUGACUUGGAUAACUUCAGGAAACUGGGGCUAAUACCGGAUAGGAGCUCCUGCUGCAUGGUGGGGGUUGGAAAGUUUCGGCGGUUGGGGAUGGACUCGCGGCUUAUCAGCUUGUUGGUGGGGUAGUGGCUUACCAAGGCUUUGACGGGUAGCCGGCCUGAGAGGGUGACCGGCCACAUUGGGACUGAGAUACGGCCCAGACUCCUACGGGAGGCAGCAGUGGGGAAUAUUGCACAAUGGGCGGAAGCCUGAUGCAGCAACGCCGCGUGCGGGAUGACGGCCUUCGGGUUGUAAACCGCUUUCGCCUGUGACGAAGCGUGAGUGACGGUAAUGGGUAAAGAAGCACCGGCUAACUACGUG
This 466-nucleotide ribosomal RNA is filed under the name uncultured bacterium. RNAcentral describes it as "partial 16S ribosomal RNA". It matches the Rfam family "Bacterial small subunit ribosomal RNA", at positions 28 to 507 of the family's 1533-position model. The record is from RNAcentral.